AGUGAACGCUGGCGGCAGGCCUAACACAUGCAAGUCGAACGGCAGCAUAGUGAGUGCUUGCGCUUACGGGUGUCGAGUGGCGGACGCUGCCGUUAUAUAUGGGAUUCUACUUUUUCGUGGGUGCUAAUGCAGGGAAACUUACGCUAAUCCAGCAUACGUCGUAUGUGGGAAAGCACGGGAUCUUCUGACCUUUUGCGAGUGUAUGAGCCUAUCUCGGAUUAGCUCGUUGGCGGGGUAAAGGCACACCAAGGCGACGCUCGGUAGCUGGUCUGAUCGGGUGAUCAGCCACAUUGGAAGUGAGACACGGUCCAGACUCCUACGGGAGGCAGCAGUGGGGAAUAUUGGACAAUGGGCGCAAGCCUGAUCCAGCCAUACCGCGUGAGUGAAGAAGGCCUUCGGGUUGUAAAGCGAUUUAGGUGGGAAGGAAGAGCAGCAGGUUAAUACCCCGCUGUUAUGACGGUACCGAAAGAAUAAGCACCGGCUAACUUCGUG
Molecule: ribosomal RNA, 492 nt
Filed under: uncultured bacterium
Lineage: Bacteria
Description: partial 16S ribosomal RNA
Rfam family: Bacterial small subunit ribosomal RNA
Source: RNAcentral